RNAcentral lists this ribosomal RNA (820 nucleotides) under Anadara sp. SS-2018. RNAcentral's name for it is "12S ribosomal RNA". The record is from RNAcentral. RNAcentral also lists the same sequence under 1 other name. Lineage: Eukaryota; Metazoa; Mollusca; Bivalvia; Arcoida; Arcidae.
GGAAUAAUUGUAUUUGGUACUAGUACAGCGUCGGCUAACUCUUGGACGAAGACAUGGUAGUUGAGCGAGGAAGCAGGAAUAUCUUUAACCAGUUGGGUCGACUUCUUAAUGAGGUAAAAGGAAUUGGUGAGCAUCAAGAAAGUGAAGACGCUAUAUAUUUUGCUAACUCCAGUCAUGAAGAUUGAGGUUGGUGUUCGGAAGAACGAGUCAACUAUGGGGAAUGGAGGGGAGACGAAAGAAAUGCCAGCAGUCGCGGUUACAUUUACUUUCCUCCAGUUUGAUGAAGGCGGCUUAAAAGAUGGAUAGCCAAUGGUAAAAAGACGUAAAGGAAGAUUAACAUGGAGGGUCCCAUCUUACAAUGUUAACAGGACUUUUCAGGGAGGUGAACCAUGUAACCGGGAUAGAGGACCGGGAUUAGGUACCCCGUUACUCCCGGUGUGAAGCACAGCGAACAAUACAAUUUACUUAUGCUUGCCGGGCGACUACGCCCUAACAGGUAAAAGUCGAAGUAUUUGGCGGUCUAGAGAUGAACCAGCCUAUGAGACUUGACGGUUAAUCCGAUGGUCCGCGUAAAUUCUACUCUUUUUUGUAUUCUCAGUUGGUGUAUGGCCGUUUUAGAGUACUGCCAGUGAGGGGGAUGCGUAAUCCAUUAGUUUUUAAAUUUUUUAAGAAAAGGUAAGAAACAGUGGAGUAAGACAGGUCGUCAUGCUGCCAAUGAAGGAGGCUUUGUUGAGUCACAUUGAUUAGAUCUAUGCAGAACCAAGAAGGAAGGAGCUUGGGGAAGAAGUAAUGGGUAGUAAAAAGAGAAUAAUUCGCUCUC